RNAcentral lists this ribosomal RNA (465 nucleotides) under Vreelandella stevensii. RNAcentral describes it as "partial 16S ribosomal RNA". It matches the Rfam family "Bacterial small subunit ribosomal RNA", at positions 338 to 795 of the family's 1533-position model. The record is from RNAcentral. Lineage: Bacteria; Pseudomonadati; Pseudomonadota; Gammaproteobacteria; Oceanospirillales; Halomonadaceae.
CCUACGGGCGGCAGCAGUGGGGAAUAUUGGACAAUGGGGGGAACCCUGAUCCAGCCAUGCCGCGUGUGUGAAGAAGGCCCUCGGGUUGUAAAGCACUUUCAGUGAGGAAGAACGCCUGGUGGUUAAUACCCAUCAGGAAAGACAUCACUCACAGAAGAAGCACCGGCUAACUCCGUGCCAGCAGCCGCGGUAAUACGGAGGGUGCGAGCGUUAAUCGGAAUUACUGGGCGUAAAGCGCGCGUAGGUGGCUUGAUAAGCCGGUUGUGAAAGCCCCGGGCUCAACCUGGGAACGGCAUCCGGAACUGUCAAGCUAGAGUGCAGGAGAGGAAGGUAGAAUUCCCGGUGUAGCGGUGAAAUGCGUAGAGAUCGGGAGGAAUACCAGUGGCGAAGGCGGCCUUCUGGACUGACACUGACACUGAGGUGCGAAAGCGUGGGUAGCGAACAGGAUUAGAUACCCUUGUAGUC